Molecule: ribosomal RNA, 628 nt
Filed under: bacterium G200VI
Lineage: Bacteria
Description: bacterial SSU rRNA
Rfam family: Bacterial small subunit ribosomal RNA
Source: RNAcentral
UCGUGUAUAGAUGUCCCGCGUCUAUUAGCUAGUUGGUAAGCUAACGGCUUACCAAGGCGACGAUCAGUAGCCGGCCUGAGAGGGUGAACGGCCACACUGGAACUGAGACACGGUCCAGACUCUACGGGAGGCAGCAGUGGGGGAUAUUGCACAAUGGGGGAAACCCUGAUGCAGCGAUGCCGCGUGAAUGAUGAAGGCUUUCGAGUCGUAAAGUUCUGUUCUAAGGGAAGAUAGUGACGGUACCUUAGAAGAAAGUCCCGGCUAAAUACGUGCCAGCAGCCGCGGUAAUACGUAUGGGACGAGCGUUAUCCGGAAUUAUUGGGCGUAAAGAGUUCGUAGGCGGUCCUUUAAGUCAGAAGUGAAAGGCAGUGGCUCAACCAUUGUAAGCUUUUGAAACUGGGGGACUUGAGUGUUGGAGAGGAAAGCGGAAUUCCUAGUGUAGCGGUGAAAUGCGUAGAUAUUAGGAGGAACACCAGUGGCGAAGGCGGCUUUCUGGACAAAUACUGACGCUGAGGAACGAAAGCGUGGGGAGCGAACAGGAUUAGAUACCCUGGUAGUCCACGCCGUAAACGAUGAGUGCUAGGUGUUGGGGUAGCGAUACCUCAGUGCCGCAGUAACGCAUUAAGCA